RNAcentral lists this ribosomal RNA (497 nucleotides) under uncultured bacterium. RNAcentral describes it as "partial 16S ribosomal RNA". It matches the Rfam family "Bacterial small subunit ribosomal RNA", at positions 30 to 523 of the family's 1533-position model. The record is from RNAcentral.
AUUGAACGCUGGCGGCAUGCCUUACACAUGCAAGUCGAACGGCAGCACGGGUGCUUGCACCUGGUGGCGAGUGGCGAACGGGUGAGUAAUACAUCGGGACGUACCUUAUCGUGGGGGAUAACGCAGCGAAAGUUGCGCUAAUACCGCAUACGCCCUGAGGGGGAAAGCGGGGGACCGUAAGGCCUCGCGCGAUUAGAGCGGCCGAUGUCUGAUUAGCUUGUUGGUGAGGUAAAAGCUCACCAAGGCGAUGAUCAGUAGCUGGUCUGAGAGGACGAUCAGCCACACUGGGACUGAGACACGGCCCAGACUCCUACGGGAGGCAGCAGUGGGGAAUAUUGGUCAAUGGGGGCAACCCUGAACCAGCCAUGCCGCGUGCAGGAAGACGGCUCUAUGAGUUGUAAACUGCUUUUGUACAGGGAUAAAUCGGGGAACGUGGUCCCCGUUGAAGGUACUGUACGAAUAAGGAUCGGCUAACUCCAUGCCAGCCGCCGCGGUAA